UGGGGUGUGGCUUAGUGGUGGAGGGCUUGCUUACCAUGCGCAAGGCCCUGGGUUCCAUUCCCAGCACUGCAC
This 72-nucleotide transfer RNA is filed under the name Neotoma lepida (desert woodrat). It matches the Rfam family "tRNA". From Rfam's summary of the family: Transfer RNA (tRNA) molecules are approximately 80 nucleotides in length. Their secondary structure includes four short double-helical elements and three loops (D, anti-codon, and T loops). Further hydrogen bonds mediate the characteristic L-shaped molecular structure. tRNAs have two regions of fundamental functional importance: the anti-codon, which is responsible for specific mRNA codon recognition, and the 3' end, to which the tRNAs corresponding amino acid is attached (by aminoacyl-tRNA synthetases). tRNAs cope with the degeneracy of the genetic code in two manners: having more than one tRNA (with a specific anti-codon) for a particular amino acid; and 'wobble' base-pairing, i.e. permitting non-standard base-pairing at the 3rd anti-codon position. Lineage: Eukaryota; Metazoa; Chordata; Mammalia; Rodentia; Cricetidae. The record is from Rfam by way of RNAcentral.